AGCGAACGCUGGCGGCAGGCCUAACACAUGCAAGUCGAACGAACUCUUCGGAGUUAGUGGCGGACGGGUGAGUAAAACGUGGGAACGUGCCUUUAGGCUCGGAAUAACUCAGGGAAACUUGUGCUAAUACCGAAUGUGCCCUUCGGGGGAAAGAUUUAUCGCCUUUAGAGCGGCCCGCGUCUGAUUAGCUAGUUGGUGAGGUAAAGGCCGACCAAGGCGACGAUCAGUAGCUGGUCUGAGAGGAUGAUCAGCCACAUUGGGACUGAGACACGGCCCAAACUCCUACGGGAGGCAGCAGUGGGGAAUCUUGCGCAAUGGGCGAAAGCCUGACGCAGCCAUGCCGCGUGAAUGAUGAAGGUCUUAGGAUUGUAAAAUUCUUUCACCGGGGACGAUAAUGACGGUACCCGGAGAAGAAGCCCCGGCUAACUUCGUG
Molecule: ribosomal RNA, 433 nt
Filed under: uncultured bacterium
Lineage: Bacteria
Description: partial 16S ribosomal RNA
Rfam family: Bacterial small subunit ribosomal RNA
Source: RNAcentral